ACUGGGCCCUUAUGCGCUUUGCUUCCAGUUCCACCGACUGCAGCAUCUUUCUUUGCUAGCUGCCCGGGUAAAACGCUUCUGUCGCACUUUCCUGCUUCUCCCCCUUUCUUUCCGCCUCUGGAUCUGAGAAAGAAAUAAAACCAAGCCUCCUACCGCACCAGCCCUCCCCACCCCUGCUGCCUCACUUCUCCUUACCGAGUGUACCGCCUUGUUUUCUGAAGGAAACCGUAACAUUCAGACAUUUAAGCUGUAAAUGAACUUUUCUUUAUGACGUUUAAUUUUCUCUCCAAUUCUUAGGUCCUGCUCCGCUUCGCAGUGGAAUGGAACGGAUUUAGAAGCCUGCAGUAGGGGAGUGGGGAGUGGAGAGAGGGAGCCCAGAGUUACAGACGGCGGCGAGAGGAAGGAGGGGCGUCUUUAUUUUUUUAAGGCCCCAAAGAGUCUGAUGUUUACAAGACCAGAAAUGCCACGGCCGCGUCCUGGCAGAGAAAAGGCUGAAAUGGAGGACCGGCGCCUUCCUUAUAAGCUCGUUGGGGCCUAAGCCAGUACCGACCUGGUAGAAAAAGCAACCACGAAGCUAGAGAGAGAGCCAGAGGAGGGAAGAGAGCGCCAGACGAAGGUGAAAGCGAACCACGCAGAGAAAUGCAGGCAAGGGAGCAAGGCGGCAGUUCCCGGAACAAACGUGGCAGAGGGCAAGACGGGCACUCACAGACAGAGGUUUAUGUAUUUUUAUUUUUUAAAAUCUGAUUUGGUGUUCCAUGAGGAAAAGGGAAAAUCUAGGGAACGGGAGUACAGAGAGAAUAAUCCGGGUCCUAGCUCGCCACAUGAACGCCCAGAGAACGCUGGAAAAACCUGAGCGGGUGCCGGGGCAGCACCCGGCUCGGGUCAGCCACUGCCCCACACCGGGCCCACCAAGCCCCGCCCCUCGCGGCCACCGGGGCUUCCUUGCUCUUCUUAUCAUCUCCAUCUUUAUGAUGAGGCUUGUUAACAAGACCAGAGAGCUGGCCAAGCACCUCUAUCUCAGCCGCGCCCGCUCAGCCGAGCAGCGGUCGGUGGGGGGACUGGGAGGCGCUAAUUAAUUGAUUCCUUUGGACUGUAAAAUAUGGCGGCGUCUACACGGAACCCAUGGACUCAUAAACAAUAUAUCUGUUGGGCGUGAGUGCACUGUCUCUCAAAUAAUUUUUCCAUAGGCAAAUGUCAGAGGGUUCUGGAUUUUUAGUUGCUAAGGAAAGAUCCAAAUGGGACCAAUUUUAGGAGGCCCAAACAGAGUCCGUUCAGUGUCAGAAAAUGCUUCCCCAAAGGGGUUGGGAGUGUGUUUUGUUGGAAAAAAGCUUGGGUUAUAGGAAAGCCUUUCCCUGCUACUUGUGUAGACCCAGCCCAAUUUAAGAAUUACAAGGAAGCGAAGGGGUUGUGUAGGCCGGAAGCCUCUCUGUCCCGGCUGGAUGCAGGGGACUUGAGCUGCUCCGGAAUUUGAGAGGAACAUAGAAGCAAAGGUCCAGCCUUUGCUUCGUGCUGAUUCCUAGACUUAAGAUUCAAAAACAAAUUUUUAAAAGUGAAACCAGCCCUAGCCUUUGGAAGCUCUUGAAGGUUCAGCACCCACCCAGGAAUCCACCUGCCUGUUACACGCCUCUCCAAGACACAGUGGCACCGCUUUUCUAACUGGCAGCACAGAGCAACUCUAUAAUAUGCUUAUAUUAGGUCUAGAAGAAUGCAUCUUGAGACACAUGGGUAACCUAAUUAUAUAAUGCUUGUUCCAUACAGGAGUGAUUAUGCAGUGGGACCCUGCUGCAAACGGGACUUUGCACUCUAAAUAUAGACCCCAGCUUGGGACAAAAGUUGCAGUAGAAAAAUAGACAUAGGAGAACACUUAAAUAAGUGAUGCAUGUAGACACAGAAGGGGUAUUUAAAAGACAGAAAUAAUAGAAGUACAGAAGAACAGAAAAAAAAUCAGCAGAUGGAGAUUACCAUUCCCAAUGCCUGAACUUCCUCCUGCUAUUAAGAUUGCUAGAGAAUUGUGUCUUAAACAGUUCAUGAACCCAGAAGAAUGCAAUUUCAAUGUAUUUAGUACACACACAGUAUGUAUAUAAACACAACUCACAGAAUAUAUUUUCCAUACAUUGGGUAGGUAUGCACUUUGUGUAUAUAUAAUAAUGUAUUUUCCAUGCAGUUUUAAAAUGUAGAUAUAUUAAUAUCUGGAUGCAUUUUCUGUGCACUGGUUUUAUAUGCCUUAUGGAGUAUAUACUCACAUGUAGCUAAAUAGACUCAGGACUGCACAUUCCUUGUGUAGGUUGUGUGUGUGUGGUGGUUUUAUGCAUAAAUAAAGUUUUACAUGUGG
Molecule: long non-coding RNA, 2332 nt
Filed under: Homo sapiens (human)
Lineage: Eukaryota; Metazoa; Chordata; Mammalia; Primates; Hominidae
Description: HOX transcript antisense RNA variant G1.14
Source: RNAcentral